This 90-nucleotide transfer RNA is filed under the name Clostridium porci. Its description in RNAcentral is "Clostridium sp. WCA-389-WT-23D1 tRNA-Ser". It matches the Rfam family "tRNA". From Rfam's summary of the family: Transfer RNA (tRNA) molecules are approximately 80 nucleotides in length. The record is from RNAcentral. Lineage: Bacteria; Bacillati; Bacillota; Clostridia; Eubacteriales; Clostridiaceae.
GCAGACGUGGCAGAGAGGUCGAUUGCGGCAGAUUGCUAAUCUGUAGAUCGGUUUUUCACUGAUCCGAAGGUUCGAAUCCUUCCGUCUGCG